Molecule: ribosomal RNA, 434 nt
Filed under: uncultured Oscillospiraceae bacterium
Lineage: Bacteria; Bacillati; Bacillota; Clostridia; Eubacteriales; Oscillospiraceae
Description: partial 16S ribosomal RNA
Rfam family: Bacterial small subunit ribosomal RNA
Source: RNAcentral
ACGGAAGGCAGCAGUCGGGAAUAUUGCGCAAUGGAGGAAACUCUGACGCAGUGACGCCGCGUAUAGGAUGAAGGUUUUCGGAUUGUAAACUAUUGUCGUUAGGGAAGAUUAUGACAGUACCUAAGGAGGAAGCCCCGGCUAACUAUGUGCCAGCAGCCGCGGUAAUACAUAGGGGGCAAGCGUUAUCCGGAAUUAUUGGGUGUAAAGGGUGCGUAGACGGAGUAACAAGUUGGUUGUGAAAUCCCUCGGCUUAACUGAGGAACUGCAACCAAAACUAUUACCCUUGAGUGUCGGAGGGGAAAGUGGAAUUCCUAGUGUAGCGGUGAAAUGCGUAGAUAUUAGGAGGAACACCGGUGGCGAAGGCGACUUUCUGGACGAUAACUGACGUUGAGGCACGAAAGUGUGGGGAGCAAACAGGAUUAGAUACCCUGGUA